GGUGGCUUAGUGGUAGAGUGCUUGCCUUGCAUGCAGGGGGCCCUGGGUUCAAUUCCUCAGCACCA
This 65-nucleotide transfer RNA is filed under the name Dipodomys ordii (Ord's kangaroo rat). It matches the Rfam family "tRNA". From Rfam's summary of the family: Transfer RNA (tRNA) molecules are approximately 80 nucleotides in length. Their secondary structure includes four short double-helical elements and three loops (D, anti-codon, and T loops). Lineage: Eukaryota; Metazoa; Chordata; Mammalia; Rodentia; Heteromyidae. The record is from Rfam by way of RNAcentral.